UUGAAUCAAGCAGGUGUGUGACAGAUGUUCAGACAAUUGACAAAGCAUUUGGUGACCAGUCUGUUUUUGAGCACUCUUGAGACUUGAUGAUGAUCAUAAUUGCGGAGACCUCAACAGAACGAUAUCAACAAAAAUUAGCUGCGACUGGAAGGCUGCUGAGCAUCUCGCAUUGUCGACUGUGAUGUCUUAUACAAAAUAUAUUGACUCGUAACGACAAUCGAAAUGAAGAUUGGGAUCAUACUAUUAAUAAUUUUUGCGCUUUUUGACGUGGUGAUAUGUGUUGUACCAACUUUUUUGCCAAAGAAAACUUUGAAUCAGAGAUCUGAACUUAUUAUUGAAUAUUUCAAGCUUUUGCUAAUUCAAACACACCUUGAUCGAAUUGCUCGAAAUUGGAAUACUCAAACGAUUAGAUCCCAAAAUAAUAACGAGCUCAAUUAUGGAAAACCUGACGUAAUGUUCCAUUUACCAGAAUUAUUUGAUAGCCAAGAUUUCGGCACAAAUGUUGAUAUAUACAAGACGUUAUUUGCUGUCAACGAAUGUACUCCAUUCCGAACAACAAAAAUAAAGACUUUAAAGAAUUGGCUCAACUCCUGAGACCGGGUUUGCAAAUGCCACAUAACGCUAAUACUGCCUGCACCCAGCGGUCUGCCAUCCAGAGGAGAAACCGAUACUCAUGUGAGAACAUGCUAGGAAGAUAAACAGCAGCAACAUUUUUCUAAGAAACUCAUACGGACUAUCGUCAUAUAAAAUGACAGUGAUUUGGUUCUUUUCUGUAAAAUUAUGAUAUUAUUCUUAUGUUGAUAUACACAACAUUUGUUAAUGUAAUCGUCUCAAA
Dreissena polymorpha is the source of this 835-nucleotide long non-coding RNA. RefSeq lists it as uncharacterized. The record is from RefSeq and is a predicted model, not a curated record. The transcript is spliced from 4 exons. NCBI's taxonomy places the organism in Eukaryota, Metazoa, Mollusca, Bivalvia, Myida, Dreissenidae.